This 336-nucleotide long non-coding RNA is filed under the name Myripristis murdjan (pinecone soldierfish). Its description in RNAcentral is "lncRNA (ENSMMDG00005012278.1)". The record is from RNAcentral. Lineage: Eukaryota; Metazoa; Chordata; Actinopteri; Holocentriformes; Holocentridae.
GAGACAUGAGAGCAUGUAACAUGAGUUUCCUUCGCUUUAUAAGCACAUUAUUAAUACAAGGAAAACUGCAACACACCGACGAACUUCUGUGAAUCCAACCUAGCCUUCUGCUUACACUGUAAUAGAUGCUGACCGUGACUCCUCAUGGUGCUGACUCUCCACUGUGGAUCCCCCCUCAGCCUACCUGCAUGAGGAUCCCUGCUCCUCCUCAUGUGCUGAGCAGACAAGGCAGAGGCUUCAGUGUGUGAGAGAGAGUGUGUGAAGAGGAGGAAAAAGCGGUAGAAGAAGAGAGGUAGUCUGUCUGUGGUCGGAGUGUUGUUUAUGUUUGUAUGUUUC